UACGUAGGGGGCAAGCGUUGUCCGGAAUCAUUGGGCGUAAAGCGCGUGUAGGCGGUUCGAUAAGUCUGCUGUGAAAGUCCAGGGCUCAACCCUGGGAUGCCGGUGGAUACUGUCGGACUAGAGUGCGGAAGAGGCGAGUGGAAUUCCCGGUGUAGCGGUGAAAUGCGCAGAUAUCGGGAGGAACACCAAUUGCGAAGGCAGCUCGCUGGGACGUUACUGACGCUGAGACGCGAAAGCGUGGGGAGCGAACAGG
RNAcentral lists this ribosomal RNA (253 nucleotides) under uncultured bacterium. RNAcentral's name for it is "partial 16S ribosomal RNA". It matches the Rfam family "Bacterial small subunit ribosomal RNA", at positions 524 to 776 of the family's 1533-position model. The record is from RNAcentral.